RNAcentral lists this ribosomal RNA (253 nucleotides) under uncultured bacterium. RNAcentral describes it as "partial 16S ribosomal RNA". It matches the Rfam family "Bacterial small subunit ribosomal RNA", at positions 524 to 776 of the family's 1533-position model. The record is from RNAcentral.
UACAGAGGGUGCGAGCGUUGUUCGGAAUUAUUGGGCGUAAAGGGAGCGUAGGCGGUUUUGUAAGUCGUGUGUGAAAUCUUCGGGCUCAACCCGAAGUCUGCACACGAAACUGCAGGGCUUGAGUAUGGGAGAGGUGAGUGGAAUUCCUGGUGUAGCGGUGAAAUGCGUAGAUAUCAGGAGGAACACCUGUGGCGAAAGCGGCUCACUGGACCAUUACUGACGCUGAGGCUCGAAAGCUAGGGGAGCAAACAGG